RNAcentral lists this ribosomal RNA (459 nucleotides) under uncultured bacterium. RNAcentral describes it as "partial 16S ribosomal RNA". It matches the Rfam family "Bacterial small subunit ribosomal RNA", at positions 338 to 795 of the family's 1533-position model. The record is from RNAcentral.
CCUACGGGAGGCAGCAGUGAGGAAUAUUGGUCAAUGGGCGGGAGCCUGAACCAGCCAAGCCGCGUGAGGGAAGAAGGUACAGCGUAUCGUAAACCUCUUUUGUCAGGGAACAAAGGCGGGGACUAGUCCCCGGAUGAGGGUACCUGAAGAAAAAGCAUCGGCGAACUCCGUGCCAGCAGCCGCUGUAAUACGGAGGAUGCGAGGGUUAUCCGGAUUUAUUGGGUUUAAAGGGUGCGAAGGCGGCAUGUUAAGUCAGCGGUAAAAGCCCGGGGCUCAACCCCGGCGCGCCGUUGAAACUGGCGGGCUGGAGUUGGAGAGAAGUAGGCGGAAUGCGCGGUGUAGCGGUGAAAUGCUUAGAUAUCGCGCAGAACCCCGAUUGCGAAGGCAGCAUACCGGCUCCACACUGACGCUGAGGCACGAAAGCGUGGGUAUCGAACAGGAUUAGAUACCCGAGUAGUC